GCAUGCUGGAGAUAAGCUAAUCUUCCAGAUAACAAACAUUCAGCAACGCAUAACGAAAUACAAGGUGUCAUGAUGAUGUAGCACAACCAGGGCUCCUUCUUUCAGAGUCCCGAGGAGGUGAAAAUCCACACUUUACUCAAAUCCAGCAUCCUACAGCGCGUUGCUGCAUUCAGAAACAACACUCAGCAGCUCGGCUGAGCACUGAUAAGCACUGCACUGUUAUUGCAGUGUUUGACACGGGCCCCUCUGAGCGUCGCUUGCCUCAGCCUGAGCCAAACCUCCCCUAGGCCUCCUUGAUGACGACCACGGAGAGGGGCCCCAUCUUGUGGACGUUUCCUGGAGUACGCACGGCUGUAGCAGGCGCCGUGCUCGUAAAGCAGCGCUGUAAAGCCAGCUCCCGUAGCCAUCGCCGGGACUUAACCUGAGCUAGGGUGCCCCGCUCCGUGUACUAAAAGCACCUCCUUUCUCUUGGGCUACUCCUCCCUGUCCUGCAGGUGUGAGGAGCCCAGCCUAAAUUUUUGAAGACCUGGAGAGAAGCUUCUGCGCUGCCUGCAAGCUCCAUCCUUGUGCUCAGGGGAGGGGAGGAUGAGGGCAGCCGGGAAUGAAUGGAGACAAGAGCGGAACAGGUCAGACUGCAUCGGCUGCAGGGAUCCGGAGCACUGGGGGGAGAGGGGCUAUUGAAUGUUCUCCAUUGCUUCCCAUCUUUGCUUAUCAUCUCUUUGGCAAUACCUCCAUUGAUACAGCUGCCCAAAAUGCAAGAUGGACACACUGACAGCAGACAGAAAAGCAAGCAUACUUUGGUCAACUCAACCCAAGAGCUGAGCUUCAUGCCACUUAUAGCAUCUCUGACUACACACAUUGUAGCGAUAUGUUCUAACAAAUUCAUCUUGAGGUAUGCAGACAAAUGGCACACAUUACAGUUAGGUCGAGAGCACAGCAAUCUGUGAAACUGCCAGACCUUCUUGCUAUCAGAGGGAAAGUAAUAUCCACGCAGAUGGUGGCCUUGAUUUAUGGACCUUGUUAAGGUAAUCAUGUGAGAAACUGGCAAACGUUGUAGAAAAUAAAAUAAGAAGAGAUGAAGACUUUGAGGAUCUCUGAAUAAGCACAAACUACCCAGUUAUUGCCGAGGCAGUGAAAUUCAAAAUACCCCCCAAAAAAGGUCAUCUGGUCAGCAAAACCGGAAUCAGUGCAGUAAAAGUUAACAGGAAUGUUUAUUAUUGUUUAUAUUUUUGUUUGUUUGUUUACCUGGUUUGCCUGUUGGUCAGCCCUGUCCCUGAUCAUUGUAUCUUGGAGCAGCUCAUUGAACUCACUGUUUCCACAAUGUUCAUGCCUGACUUACUUUCACAGUUGGAGGGGCUGUCUAUGUUUUCCCUUGAUGUCAAUGAAGCAAUACUGGAAGUGCUUUUUUUAACAGAGCUAAUGGAAUUCCUGGAGGUUGCCAAACAGCAUCAUUCCCUCCUAAGUCCUUAACACAGCCAACUGUUCAUUUCAUGAAUGCGAAUUUUGAUGACUACAGCAAUCACUAUCUCUGAGACAAAUGCAUUGUAGGUAAUAAAAAUAUUCUUCACGCAAACUUAGUGUGGUUCUAUUCUAAUACCUGCAACUAAGAAUUCUCAUACCAAAAUAAAACCUGAAAAUACUCAGGUAAUGUCAGAAUGAAAAGUCAUACCCUUUAGGACACAUGAAUGGCAAAACAGUUUCAUUAUUGUUGAUGUCAUAAUGUAGAAUAAUGAAACAAAUACAAAUCAAGAUAAAUUCAAACAGUGCUUUAAUGCUUAAUGGUCCUUCAGUCCAACUUUGAGUUCACAAUCUUCUGUAAGCCUUGCAAAAAAUAAAUUAGUGUAAGUUAAACUGUUUCUGUUCCUUGUUUCUAUCCAUCUUCCUCUUGACCAUUUUCUUCUCUAAAAUUCAAUUGAACUCUGAUUUUGAAGCCAGUGUUCCUUUAUGUUUUUGUCAAAUAAAUGUCUUGAUCCAAUCAACCAUAUCCUUUCUAGCUUCUUCAAUAUAAGGCUUAUCAGCAGGUUUCAUAUCUUCUGGCUUCAGUUGUGCAAACCCGUGAACCUGUCCAGGAUAAACUUUAAUUUUAUAUGGAACUUUACAGUACUGUUUCAACUUCUCAUCCAAUAAGGUAAUCUGUAAAAUAAAGCAUUUUUCUGUUA
Long non-coding RNA from Centrocercus urophasianus (Greater sage-grouse), 2159 nucleotides. RefSeq lists it as uncharacterized. The record is from RefSeq and is a predicted model, not a curated record. The transcript is spliced from 2 exons. Lineage: Eukaryota; Metazoa; Chordata; Aves; Galliformes; Phasianidae.